AAUGAAAUCCAUUUUGCCUCCUCUGGCCAUACCAUUGUUGACUGACUUUCAAAAGCUUUAUCUUCUGAAGGGAAAUGCAAGGAGCUCUGCAUAAUGAGAGGUUCAUUGCUGGAGAAGGGGCAAGAAAAUGCAAGCAUCCAGGCAAAGAGAGAUAAAAGGAGAUUGGCUCCCAGCAAUAUCCCUCCUCGCAGGAAGUGAGCUAUGAUAAAUCCAUAUUUCUACAUAAUAAGCUGUUCUGCUGGGACUGGAGCAUCCCUUCCUCAGCUCAGGGGAGAAAGUGUUACAGGCCUGGCUAUGCACAUGGAGAUGUGCAGUCUGUUCCUGCCAGCCUUGGGGGCAGGUGGCUUGCCUGUUCGGUCUCCCCAGAACAUCCAGGACAUCAGAGGGCAUCGAGUUCAUUUAGUCUUUGGUUUCUUUACAGCCCAAAACAUCUUCUGGAGACUGUGAUGUGGUUAAACUAAAUUUCAAGUUUUCACUACAUCCCAAGAUUUUGCUCAAAUUUCUGUGCCGAGAGUCAACUUACUGACUCACCCAUUAGAGUAAACGUUUUUCUUGCUUCCCACACGUAUAUUUCCCUCUUUAUCCAACGUCCAGAUUUGCCUUGGGGGACCACCUCCUCC
This 620-nucleotide long non-coding RNA is filed under the name Chinchilla lanigera (long-tailed chinchilla). RNAcentral describes it as "lncRNA (ENSCLAG00000025825.1)". Lineage: Eukaryota; Metazoa; Chordata; Mammalia; Rodentia; Chinchillidae. The record is from RNAcentral.